UAAGCAAUAUAUCCUAAUUUAGAAUUCAAAAGUUCCUUACAAAAGCAGUUUAUCUUCUCAAACACAAGGGAAAUUGGCAAGAUAUACGGUAUAAAAAAUUCGGAAAAAAUCUGAACAAGAAAUUUAGGUCCGAGUAUUAAGGAUUGUUUUUGGUUGUGAAAAAGUUUGAUUGAAAGAGUUCCGUCAAAAAGAGGUGAAACGCUGCUCAAUACCCGGUAUGCCUAUCUGAACGUGAUUUUGGGGGUUUUGUGAGAGACUAGGAAUUAUGCGAGCAUUUGGUUUUUAUUUAUGAGAUUUCUAAUUUUGCAUUACGCCUCAAGUUUUGUGCUUGGUUUUCAACGUCUGGUUCUAUAUCAAAAUUGAGUUUAUUAAAACAUGUAUUUUCUUAACUCAAAUUUUAUCAUAUUUCUUGUACAAAAAAUGUAAUUCCAAUCUGAAGUUCUCUGUGACAAUACAGAACAAAUGGGAAAUUUUUUGAUGAGCCCAAGAACAAACAAGUAACAUGAAAAAUAAAAUAAUGUGGGCAAUUUUUGAAACCGUAUAUAUUUAGGACUUGAAAGUCCGUCCUUUUAGUCGUUCAAAUCUACAUUUUUGGUUGCACAUAGAACUUUUAACAUAGAAUUAGUAAAAUACAGAUGCAAACGACUAAACAAUGUGAGAGACUUUUGGAAAUGUAUGUAAUGUAACUUAGGAAUGUUCCCUUUGGAUUGCAAAUAUGCUUUUGAUGUAAAGUAAAUAGAAUGUAAUGUAACUUAAAAAACUACUUUACCCUAUUUGUUUAGUUGUUCUAUUAAUUUAUAAAAUGUUUUGCAAUGAAUGUAUUGCUUUGUGUAUGGUAAUAUACGUGUUUGUCAACGCAGAUAAGCUGUUUCUAGCUUCUGAACAUCAAUUAUUAUUAGGUGCCGUUAUUCAACUUUGUCUCUUUUUUGAGAUAUGAUUCAUAUUUGCUGUAAAAUGUAAAUUAAUUCUGACCAGCAAUUUUACAUUUGAACACUAAUUAUAACCAAUACACAAAGUUUAAUUACCAAGAACUACAAAUAUAAAAAAAA
Molecule: long non-coding RNA, 1049 nt
Filed under: Malus domestica (apple)
Lineage: Eukaryota; Viridiplantae; Streptophyta; Magnoliopsida; Rosales; Rosaceae
Description: long non-coding RNA (MDOM_LNC003207)
Source: RNAcentral